Molecule: ribosomal RNA, 617 nt
Filed under: uncultured bacterium
Lineage: Bacteria
Description: bacterial SSU rRNA
Rfam family: Bacterial small subunit ribosomal RNA
Source: RNAcentral
CCUACGGGAGGCAGCAGUGGGGAAUUUUGGACAAUGGGCGAAAGCCUGAUCCAGCCAUUCCGCGUGAGUGAAGAAGGCCUUCGGGUUGUAAAGCUCUUUCGCAAGGAAAGAAAACUUAUCUCCUAAUACGGGGUGAGGAUGACGGUACCUUGAUAAGAAGCACCGGCUAACUACGUGCCAGCAGCCGCGGUAAUACGUAGGGUGCGAGCGUUAAUCGGAAUUACUGGGCGUAAAGCGUGCGCAGGCUGUUUUGUAAGUCAGAUGUGAAAUCCCUGGGCUCAACCUAGGAACUGCGUUUGAAACUACAAGGCUAGAGUGUAGCAGAGGGGGGUAGAAUUCCACGUGUAGCAGUGAAAUGCGUAGAGAUGUGGAGGAAUACCAAUGGCGAAGGCAGCCCCCUGGGUUAACACUGACGCUCAUGCACGAAAGCGUGGGGAGCAAACAGGAUUAGAUACCCUGGUAGUCCACGCCCUAAACGAUGUCUACUAGUUGUUGGGAGAGUAAAAUCUCUUAGUAACGCAGCUAACGCGUGAAGUAGACCGCCUGGGGAGUACGGUCGCAAGAUUAAAACUCAAAUGAAUUGACCGGCUGAGAGNGCGAGCGACACGAGGAGGAGG